UUGAAUGCAGACCAACUCAAAUGUUGAAGCCUACAAAUAUAUCAUCCAAGCUUUCAUUUAUGAUUGUUCAUGCUUUUAAAUUGUGAUGUCAGAAUUUGAUAAAGUGUGCACUGCUAGGUGUAGCAAAUCAUUGCUUAUUAAAUCUACUCUGUUAUCUAAUAGCACCAAACUAAUAGAGCUAUCACAUAACUGAGAAACUUGUGUGGCUUAUUACAAAUGGAUGAAACCACAUAUUACCUUAAUGAAGACAGUAAUCUUUAAUAAGGUGUAGAAAAAAAGAGGUGAGUUGUUUGUUGCUGUGGUAAACAAAGAAGUGUACUGAAUCUUUUGGACUACACAGAGUGAUGCAGUAUUGACUGUGAUGCUGAUUUGAGUUGUCUCAUUCUGUAUUUUUGUGCUUUGUCUUUUGUUACACAGAGUGAAAGAGAUCUUUGGUUUUGCCUUUGCUGACUGCUGAUCUGAUCGUCUCAAGUCUGGUGACCUGCUGCAGAAAACCCUCUCCCUCUAUCGUUGACAAGCAAUUAACAAGCAAUUUCAGUCUGUCCUAUCACUCUCCCUCCC
Oreochromis niloticus (Nile tilapia) is the source of this 561-nucleotide long non-coding RNA. RefSeq lists it as uncharacterized. The record is from RefSeq and is a predicted model, not a curated record. The transcript is spliced from 3 exons. NCBI's taxonomy places the organism in Eukaryota, Metazoa, Chordata, Actinopteri, Cichliformes, Cichlidae.